RNAcentral lists this ribosomal RNA (302 nucleotides) under Olea europaea subsp. europaea. RNAcentral's name for it is "LSU_rRNA_eukarya". It matches the Rfam family "Eukaryotic large subunit ribosomal RNA", at positions 360 to 664 of the family's 3401-position model. Lineage: Eukaryota; Viridiplantae; Streptophyta; Magnoliopsida; Lamiales; Oleaceae. The record is from RNAcentral.
AAAGAUGAAAAGAACAUUGAAAAAAGAGUCAAAGAGUGCUUGAAAACGUCGGGAAGGAAGCGGAUGCGGGUCGACGAUGCGUCCCGGUCGGAUGUGGAACGACAACGAGCAGAUCCGUCGAUCGACGCGGGGUGUGGACCAACACGAAUCGAGGCAACGGCCAAAGCCCGGGCAGUUGAUACAUCUACAGAACACCAUCGCCCUGAUUAUGGUGGACAACAUGAGCCCUCGGCAUGCCUCGACACCUGUACGCUCCCGGUGCUGGCCUGCGGACUCCCCAUUCGACCCGUCUUGAAACACGG